This 72-nucleotide transfer RNA is filed under the name Mixia osmundae IAM 14324. It matches the Rfam family "tRNA". Rfam says of the family: Transfer RNA (tRNA) molecules are approximately 80 nucleotides in length. The record is from Rfam by way of RNAcentral. Lineage: Eukaryota; Fungi; Basidiomycota; Mixiomycetes; Mixiales; Mixiaceae.
GCCAAAUUAGCACAGUGGUUAGUGUAUAUAUCUUGUAAAUAUAUGACUAAGGUUCGAUUCCUUAAUUUGGUA